Non-coding RNA from Danio rerio (zebrafish), 117 nucleotides. The record is from Rfam. NCBI's taxonomy places the organism in Eukaryota, Metazoa, Chordata, Actinopteri, Cypriniformes, Danionidae.
ACACACAGCCAUAUCACCCUGCAGCCCAAGACCGGUUACUCACUAAAGCUAAGCAGGGCUGAGCCUGGUUAGUACCUGGAUGGGAGACCACUAGGGAACACUAGGUUGCUGUUGGAA